UUUUUCACUUUUCUAACAUUUAUAUUAUUAAAAACAGUGGUAGUCAAACGCAUAAAUUUUUUAAAAUGUAAUAUGAUGUUUGAUCAAUGAUUUCAUUUUUGGGCAGGCAAAGUGCUGCACAACAGAGGUUUACUGUUUCCUUGAACACUGAGAACUGUAAUACACUUGUUUCUGUCGUAAACUGAAAUGUAAAACCAAAAGCAGAAAAACUGUCUUCAACAUUGAUAAUAAUCAGAAAUUAUAGAACUUAGAAUGAUUUGUGAAGAUCAUGUGACACUGAAGACUGGAGGAAUGAUGCUGAAAAUACAGCUUUGAUCACAGGAAUAAAUUACAGUUUAACAGAUAUUCACAGAGAAAAUAGUUAUUUUUAACUGUAAUAAUAUUUCUCAAUAUUGCUGUUUUUAUUCAAUUUGAUCAAAUAAAUGCAGCCAUAAUGAGCAGAAGAGACUUAAUUAAAAAUUAAAUAAUCAAUCUUACCGAUUCUAAACUUUGAAAUAAAUAAAAGCUUAAUUCGAAAUGUCAUUGGUUAGUUUAUGAAGAACUGCAAACCCAUUUUUGGAUGACAAAAUAACUAGCCCAGCUUAUUUUUUUAAGUUAAAUCUGCAGUCGUGUGACUUGCUAUUUUGGAAAAUUGCAGACCUCAUGUAACACGAGCAGAAAAUAAAACAUUCUCAUGUAAUGCUUAUUCUGACCUCCUGAGACUGAACGCUUCUUUUCACUAAGCAUUUGUUUUAAAAACGUGUUUCACACUCCUGCACAAAAACUGCAAGUCAUUUUUCAACUUGUUUUCAAACUUCUGCUUCGACUGUAAUAUGCACUUUUUUUAAAAUGUUUUGAUUAGAUCAACAGGAAAGCCGACAACUGAAGUGGUGCUGAAGUCAUUAAGGUUUGAGAAGUGCUGGAAAGUGUGUUUUUAUCUCCUCGGCAUGGCCUUGAGAAAGAGAAUCAGUCCCUGUUAAAGACAUGAGCGCUUCUCCUCCACAGCUCGACCGAGCGUAAUGUUUUUAAGAGUGGAUUUCCUCCCGCCUCUUCAGCCUUUAUUGUGAUGAAAGGAAGCCGUCCUCCUCCUCUGUCCCCCUCAGGCUGUCUCACCUCUGCAGAGGCUUUCUGAAGCGUGCUCUCUUCCCGUACGAGGGUCUGCUCACAGCUGCUGUCCCGAGCCAGCAGAAGAAACGUGUCCCCGAGCAGACAGUCUCCGUCUCGCGGGAGCAGCUUCCUGUUGGCGAAGGGAUCCGGGUGGCAGCACCAGUCGUCCACUAAUGCAUUCCAGUUUCCAUUGGGCAGAGGAAGCACUCGCCCAAAAGCCCUGUAGGAGUCAGAAGAUAGUCUGAUGAUAGCUGAACACCGUGCAUCACUAUCCUUCGAUGCAUUACUUCACCAAAUCAAUGGAAAUAAGAAGGCAUGAAUAGUAACCUGUCUUGAAGCACCAUGGAGCCACAAGACUGGCACAGGAAGGAGUACGUCUCAGCGACCCGCAGCUGUCCAAUCACACUGCACGGAGCUUCUGCAGAGGAAACGCACAACACACUGAACUGAACACAUGAUGCUGGUUUGGAUCACCAAUGAUUCAUCUGAUGAUACUGAUUAGAUCUGUAGAGAGCACAGUGUUCAUUCAAAUUAAAAUAUUUCUAUUUGUA
Long non-coding RNA from Carassius gibelio (silver crucian carp), 1637 nucleotides. RefSeq lists it as uncharacterized. NCBI's taxonomy places the organism in Eukaryota, Metazoa, Chordata, Actinopteri, Cypriniformes, Cyprinidae. The transcript has 2 exons. The record is from RefSeq and is a predicted model, not a curated record.